CCUACGGGAGGCAGCAGUGGGGAAUAUUGCACAAUGGGGGAAACCCUGAUGCAGCGACGCCGCGUGAGUGAAGAAGUAUUUCUGUAUGUAAAGCUCUAUCAGCAGGGAAGAAGAAAGACGGUACCUGACUAAGAAGCCCCGGCUAACUACGUGCCAGCAGCCGCGGUAAUACGUAGGGGGCAAGCGUUAUCCGGAUUUACUGGGUGUAAAGGGAGCGUAGACGGCUGUGCAAGUCUGAAGUGAAAGCCCAGGGCUCAACCAUGGGACUGCUUUGGAAACUAGUGAGCUAGAGUGCUGGAGAGGUAAGUGGAAUUCCUAGUGUAGCGGGGAAAUGCGUAGAUAUUAGGAGGAACACCAGUGGCGAAGGCGGCUUACUGGACAGUAACUGACGUUGAGGCUCGAAAGCGUGGGGAGCAAACAGGAUUAGAUACCCGAGUAGUG
Molecule: ribosomal RNA, 441 nt
Filed under: uncultured bacterium
Lineage: Bacteria
Description: partial 16S ribosomal RNA
Rfam family: Bacterial small subunit ribosomal RNA
Source: RNAcentral